AUGCCUCGCUCCGGCGCUCUCCCCCUCCUCGCCGCGCUGGUCCUCGCCUUGGCGGCCGCGGCGGCGGCGUCGGCCUCGAACGCCAAGGCCGCUCCGGCCGCCACCGACUUCAUCCGCAAGUCGUGCCGCGAGACGCAGUACCCGUCGGUGUGCAUGCAGAGCCUGUCGUCGUACGGCAAGCCGCCGCCGCGCAGCCCGCAGGAGCUGGCGCGCGCGGCGCUGUCCGUGAGCGCGGACCGCGCGCGGUCGGCGUCGGCGUACGUCGGGCGGAUCUGCGGGCCGGGCCUCCGCAGCGGCAGCGGCGCGAAGGCAAAGAGCAGCCCCGCGCGCGACUGCCUGGAGAACAUGGCGGACAGCGUGGGCCACCUGCGCGACGCGGCCAAGGAGCUGGACGGGAGCCUGGGCCGGGCCGGGUCGCCGGCGUUCAGGUGGCACCUGAGCAACGUGCAGACCUGGUGCAGCGCGGCGCUCACCGACGAGAACACCUGCCUCGACGGGCUCUCCCGCGGCGUGGACGCCGGCACGCGCGCCGCCAUCCGGAGCAAGGUCGUGGAGGUCGCCCAGGUCACCAGCAACGCCCUGGCGCUCGUCAACAAGGUCGGGUCCGGGCACUAG
This 615-nucleotide ribosomal RNA is filed under the name Triticum aestivum (bread wheat). RNAcentral's name for it is "partial small subunit ribosomal RNA". The record is from RNAcentral. Lineage: Eukaryota; Viridiplantae; Streptophyta; Magnoliopsida; Poales; Poaceae.